AACGAACGCUGGCGGCAUGCCUAACACAUGCAAGUCGAACGAGACCUUCGGGACUAGUGGCGCACGGGUGCGUAACGCGUGGGAACCUGCCCUUAGGUUCGGAAUAACUCCCCGAAAGGGGUGCUAAUACCGGAUAAUGUCUUCGGACCAAAGAUUUAUCGACUUUGUAUGGGCCCGCGUUGGUUUAGCUAGUUGGUAGGGUAAAAGCCUACCAAGGCGACGAUACAUAGCUGGGCUGAGAGGAUGAGCAGCCACACUGGGACUGAGACACGGCCCAGACUCCUACGGGAGGCAGCAGUGGGGAAUAUUGGACAAUGGGCGAAAGCCUGAUCCAGCAAUGCCGCGUGAGUGAUGAAGGCCUUAGGGUUGUAAAGCUCUUUUACCCGGGAUGAUAAUGACAGUACCGGGAGAAUAAGCUCCGGCUAACUCCGUG
This 433-nucleotide ribosomal RNA is filed under the name uncultured bacterium. RNAcentral's name for it is "partial 16S ribosomal RNA". It matches the Rfam family "Bacterial small subunit ribosomal RNA", at positions 29 to 507 of the family's 1533-position model. The record is from RNAcentral.